UCUACGAUAACUCAGUUUGGUAGAGUAUCAGUUCGCGCCUGAUAGGUCGGAGGUUCGAGUCCUUCUCGUAGAA
This 73-nucleotide transfer RNA is filed under the name Bacteroidota bacterium. Its description in RNAcentral is "Bacteroidetes bacterium (biofilm metagenome) tRNA-Ala". It matches the Rfam family "tRNA". Rfam says of the family: Transfer RNA (tRNA) molecules are approximately 80 nucleotides in length. Their secondary structure includes four short double-helical elements and three loops (D, anti-codon, and T loops). Further hydrogen bonds mediate the characteristic L-shaped molecular structure. tRNAs have two regions of fundamental functional importance: the anti-codon, which is responsible for specific mRNA codon recognition, and the 3' end, to which the tRNAs corresponding amino acid is attached (by aminoacyl-tRNA synthetases). tRNAs cope with the degeneracy of the genetic code in two manners: having more than one tRNA (with a specific anti-codon) for a particular amino acid; and 'wobble' base-pairing, i.e. permitting non-standard base-pairing at the 3rd anti-codon position. The record is from RNAcentral. Lineage: Bacteria; Pseudomonadati; Bacteroidota.